UAGGAUUUUUCUUCUGAUAUUAAAGCCAUAGAUCCCUGUCAGUGCCGGUCUGAUCUCUGAAGCUAAGCAGGACUAGACCUGGUUAGUACUUGGAUGGGAGACCUCUAGUGGAUACUGUUGUUGUGUCCUUA
RNAcentral lists this ribosomal RNA (131 nucleotides) under Periophthalmus magnuspinnatus. The record is from RNAcentral. Lineage: Eukaryota; Metazoa; Chordata; Actinopteri; Gobiiformes; Gobiidae.